This 253-nucleotide ribosomal RNA is filed under the name uncultured bacterium. Its description in RNAcentral is "partial 16S ribosomal RNA". It matches the Rfam family "Bacterial small subunit ribosomal RNA", at positions 524 to 776 of the family's 1533-position model. The record is from RNAcentral.
UACGUAGGGUGCGAGCGUUGUCCGGAAUUACUGGGCGUAAAGAGCUCGUAGGCGGCUUGUCGCGUCGUUCGUGAAAACCCACAGCUCAACUGUGGGCUUGCGGUCGAUACGGGCAGGCUGGAGUUCGGUAGGGGAGACUGGAAUUCCUGGUGUAGCGGUGUAAUGCGCAGAUAUCAGGAGGAACACCGGUGGCGAAGGCGGGUCUCUGGGCCGAGACUGACGCUGAGGAGCGAAAGCGUGGGGAGCGAACAGG